GUCAGGGGCACAAAGUGGACAGGCAUGAUGAUGUGAGUGGAAGUGCUAGGUAUUGGGUGGUGUCGUUACCGUAAGAGGGAGCUGGAGUAGGAAUCUCUAUGGGUGGGACUGCUGUCAAUGGUUGAGGGGAUUCCAGUUUCUCAAGACUAACACUGAUAGUGCUAAUGGAAGCAAGAAGGGACGACAUUAAACCCUUGAUUUCCG
Molecule: non-coding RNA, 204 nt
Organism: Pelobates cultripes (western spadefoot toad)
Lineage: Eukaryota; Metazoa; Chordata; Amphibia; Anura; Pelobatidae
Source: the annotation of a GenBank genome assembly